This 253-nucleotide ribosomal RNA is filed under the name uncultured bacterium. RNAcentral describes it as "partial 16S ribosomal RNA". It matches the Rfam family "Bacterial small subunit ribosomal RNA", at positions 524 to 776 of the family's 1533-position model. The record is from RNAcentral.
UACAGAGGUCUCAAGCGUUGUUCGGAUUCAUUGGGCGUAAAGGGUGCGUAGGUGGCGGGGUAAGUCAGGUGUGAAAUCUCGGAGCUCAACUCCGAAACUGCACUUGAUACUGCCUUGCUCGAGUACUGGAGAGGAGAUUGGAAUUUACGGUGUAGCAGUGAAAUGCGUAGAUAUCGUAAGGAAGACCAGUGGCGAAGGCGAAUCUCUGGACAGUUACUGACACUGAGGCACGAAGGCCAGGGGGGCAAACGGG